This is a long non-coding RNA of Nothoprocta perdicaria, 150 nucleotides long. RefSeq lists it as uncharacterized. The transcript is spliced from 2 exons. NCBI's taxonomy places the organism in Eukaryota, Metazoa, Chordata, Aves, Tinamiformes, Tinamidae. The record is from RefSeq and is a predicted model, not a curated record.
CCGCCGCCGCGGAGCCCUGCGGCGCUUUGGAGCGCGGCCUCCGAGGGAACGCGCCCCUCUGGAAAUAGAUCUACUGUCCUAAGUUGUCAGAACUGAUAAAUGCAAGUGAACCAAGUAAGAACGCAGGACGUGUGCUAGGGCACGGAAACC